CCAGAUAUUGGCAGCCUUCUUGACUGGGACAGCCUUUGCAAUCAAGGAUCAAGGUAUUCCUUUUCUGCCAUUCCAUGUAAAUUGGUAUGCUAAUCGGCAGUGCAAUACUUUGUGCCCAGUAGGUGUAUUUCCCUGCUUGGAUCCAAUUUACUAAUUGUAUUUCCCUCCUAUCCAUAAGAGAGACAUUGAGCAUGUUCUCUAUUGGUUGGAUAAUUUUCCAAUACUGGUUGUGUGUUUUCUUCUUUCCUGUUAUAGGCUGCCCCAGAUAGGAGAUGGGGAGUUUUUAUUAUUUAUUAUUUUGAAGCAGUUAAAAUUUUCAUUUAUAAAAAUGAGGGGCGUUGCCCUGGUACAAUGAGAACUAGCAACAAAAUAUAAAAUAUAGAUAUAAAUAUGGAAAUGAGAGCAAGUCUCAUUUUGACACUUUCCACACAGCCAUAUUGCCUAGUAUAGAAGCUAGGCUAUCUGCCUCCGGAGGUUGGUCUCCCAUAUCUGUAUCGUGCUAGGUCUCAAAGGGUGACAGCAACUCUUUUUGAAGCUCUUUGGCCUAAAGGAGUAGUUGAUAUCAUUUAAAACCUCCUUAAGAACCGUUUCUGGUUGUCUGAGAGAAUGUUGCAAUAGAGGGUUAUCCUCAAAGAACUUGGGGAAGAUGAUUGAGCUCUUUUGUGAGUUGAUUUCAAGCCCUGAGAAUGCUGAAAUGGUAUCUAGGAUGUUAUGUUCUUGUUCUCAAUCCAUUAGAUAUAUUUAAAAUAUAAAUGGCUGUUUUGACUCACUUGGAAAAGAAAGAUUCUUACAAAACAAUCAUUACUGUUAUGUAAUUGUUAUUUGCUGUGUGGUUUGCUUUUGAGUCUCGUCAUAAGAAUGAACAAAGUUAUUUAUAUUUUGAGUUCAAAUGCUUCAACUAUAAUUGGUGGGUGUUUAGGGCCUGGUGGUUGGCAUAUUUUUAUUAUUCCAAGUUUUCACAUGGAGACAUGAGUUCUAGACUCCUAGGGUACUCUCCAUAUAGGCAUGGUGGAUGUCAUUAGUUCAAUCUCAAGGGCUUGCAUUGAAUAUUUUAUGAAACCUUUACAAUUCUUUUUUGAGUACUUGUCUUGGAAUUUAAUUUUUUUAUAUAAAAUAUUCCAUUAGUUCUCAUAGAAAGUUACUGGUUAGAUAUAUCUUAAAAUAUUCUAAUAUUCAUCCACAUUCUUUUAUAACAACUUUAAUUUUCAUUGAAUCAUAUCCUACUAUUUAAGCAUUUAAAACUUUCUUUCUUGCUUGAUUUCUUAUCAAUGUCACUAUCACUUGUAAUUUUUAGUUAUUUUAAAAGUUCAAUGAUUGUGCCACUAUUUUCAGGGAUUAUUUCAUUUAUGUUUUCUUCUUAUUUUCCAGGUAUUAUUUUUGAUGUACCACUAUUUUGGUGCUACAGAAAUUUAUAAUGCAAUUCGUCUAUUUAUUGCUGCAUAUGUAUGGAUGACCGGAUUCGGAAAUUUUUCUUAUUAUUAUAUUAGAAAAGAUUUCAGCCUUGCAAGGUUUGCUCAGGUAAUCAACUGAAAUGAGUGCUAAAUUAGGAUGAAUACAAUGUUUGUAACAAAAUAAGUGCUGGAGAUGUAUGUCAUGUUGUUUUUUGUGUAGAUGAUGUGGCGGCUUAAUUUUUUGGUGAUAUUUUGCUGCAUUGUUCUGAAUAAUGAAUACAUGUUAUAUUACAUAUGCCCCAUGCAUACACUCUUUACCCUAAUGGUAUAUGGUACACUUGGAAUCUUCAACAAGUACAAUGACCGGGACUUAGUAAUCGCUGCUAAAAUUACUACCUGCUUUUUGGUCGUUAUUCUUUUGUGGGAAGUACCUAAGGUAUUUGAAUUGGUGUGGAGCCCAUUAACAUUCCUUCUUGGUAAGUUUUUUUAUAAUCAUGUUUUGACUUGCUUUCCUAUCAAAAAGUUAAUUUUGUUGAGCUAAUUUUCUUUACAGGUUACAGUGACCCAAAUGCCAAACAAAAAUUUCCUCGGUUGCGUGAAUGGCAUUUCCGAUCUGGACUUGAUCGCUAUAUUUGGAUUGUGGGAAUGAUAUAUGCCUAUUUCCAUCCUACUGUAAAUACCUAACAUUAAAUUUCAAGUUAAAAUCCAAUCAAAUCCAAUCCCAUCUUUCAUUUUACUUAUUUAUUUUUUUCUAUCAAAGGUUGAACGGUGGUUGGAAAGAUUGGAAGAAGCAGAAGCUAAAUUUAGAAUAUCAAUAAAAACAACCAUCAUCACCAUUUCACUACUGGUAAUUUUUCUAUAUAGUGCCUAACAGAUGUAUUUAUUCAAAAUGAUAGUUUCAAUUAUUUUAUGGAAAUUUGGACUUUAAUUUUAGGUGGGUUAUUUUUGGUACGAAUAUGUGUACAAGCUGGACAGGUUUACAUAUAAUAAAUAUCAUCCUUAUACCUCAUGGAUUCCAAUAACGUAAGGAUUUGCCCGGUCGAAACUCAAAAGUCUCUAAUAUUAAUUUAUUUUCUACUCGAUAUUGAAUAUUAAUGAAAAAUAUUAUUUUUGUCUUGGUUAAAUCAGUGUCUACAUAUGCCUAAGGAAUAUUACCCAAAAAUUUCGAGGCUAUUCUUUGACCCUUUUCGCGUAAGUGGUUAUUUUAAUCUUAGACUGAAUAAUGAAUCACAUUCUCUCUCUCUUAAUGAUCUAAAUCCGUGCUUGAUUUGUCAGGUGGUUGGGAAAGAUAACACUGGAGACUUACAUAUCGCAGAUUCAUAUAUGGUUAAGGUCUUUAUAUUGUUUUCAUCUAGUCAUCUAUACAUAUUUUAUGGGCUUUAUUAAUAAUCUAUGUUUUACAAAUUUGUUUAAUGUGACUUGAAUUUGAAUAUGCUGAAUGGAACUUGUCCUCAUGCCACUAGAUUGCCUAGAUCUCUAUGCCAGUGCCACUAGAUUACAAAUCAGAGUGAUUUUUUAAUUUCUCUUGGAAUUCAACCACCACCCUCUCUGGAAAAUCUCGCCAGAGUCGACCCCACUCUACAGAAUUGGAAACUUAAGUAGAAGAACUGAAUUUCUCUCGACUGCAUUUACCAGGAAGUAGAAUGGGCGAAGGUGGGGAGAUUUUUCCUAGUGAAAGAUGGGAAAAGAAUACCCAUAACUAGAAAAGAAGAACAAAGUAUUCUUGCCUAGCUUUUUUCAUCUUCCCAUCACCCCAAAGGUACUCUAGUAGUCCAUUGAACCUUCCUGGAAAAACAGCAGAAGGUGAUAUCAGUGCAACCUUCUUCUCUUCUGAAUUCUUCACCCCCAAUCCCACAGAGUGACUACGUGAGAUCAUUAAGGAAGAGUGAUCCAUUCCCUCACUGAUCUAUAGCUAUAGUAUUCUUAGUACUUAGUAAUAUGUUUUGAAGAAUGGUCAGUAAAAAAUAGGUCACCUCCAAAAUGAAUUCAGUAGAUAGCUCACAGCUGGGAGGAAAGGAUCAGUAAUCCUCAAAACAGAGGAAGAACUCCCCUUCACCGGCUUCAUCAACAAAUGGCAGACAUCCACACCCAACAUUGGUAAUCUGAGGAAAUUUCACUUCUCCCCCACUGAUCAGAAUUGGUACUUACGAAUAUGCAUCCUACUCCAAGCUACUUAUGUGUAAGUAAGCCCUCAAAGCGCGAUGCGCUGUGUGCAUCGUCUUUAAGUGGUUCCUAUCUGAAUCCGUUUAAAUUAUUAUAAAAUAAAACUCAGAAAUUCGCAUACAUCGCCUUUUGGCGAAUCAAUGCAAAUAAUCAAAUGUGUGAUGAAGGCUUCACUUGGGCCAAAGUGGAGGAGGUAGUUGGAGCAACAAAUGAUAGAGGUACCCGUACAGAGACCAUAUAUUGACAAGGUGACUUCAUCGGUGAAAGCGAGGGGGAGGGGAUAUUAAUGAUGUAGGUACCCCGUACCCAUACUAGAGACCUUAUCGUCGAGACUCGAGAUAAUAGGAUUUACCAUUGAAAGCGGUGCGACCAGAGGUGGUUAGCUAGAACUACCCAUUGCGUGAUUGACUGCAUACUUGUUUGUCGACCACCCUAUGGUUGGUUGACAAAUGUUACCCACUCUUGGACCAAGGCACUCCUUAACUUAAAGUUGUUAUUGUAAAAGACCAUUUUGCUCCUGUGAAUGUCUAUAUAUAGGAGUGACCCCCUCCCACACACACAUAAUGGGGGUUGGAUAUGUUGAGCACCUGCCGAAGGAGUAGAACGUUCUGCACCAGUUGACGAGUUUCAGGUCCUCAACCAUCGGGGUCGAUGUCAUUGGCGAGAAUCCACAUUCAAUAUGGGCCAGGGAGUAGUUAAGCUCGACUAUUCUCAAACUCAAGUUCUUGACUAUUAACCACUAGAUAGUUUAGUUUUUUGAGUUUAUGAACUUAUUUGCUUAGUUUUAUAUUUUGACAAUUAUGAAGUAUUACUGUAAGAGUUAUUUGUUCUUGGAGUUCUUUUGCUGACACCAUAAAUCAGCGGCUAUAGCGUUUUACCUAUUCUUUUUUUUUUUUGCAAUAUUCUACUUGUAAAUUUUUAUUUAAUUUUAGUUGGGUGGAUCCUUACCCAUGAUCCGGCUAAGGCAUAGCGCUAGGCGCUAUGCCCUGCCAGGCAGGCCACUAUAACGGUGCAAAAUUCUAUAUCUAUAGCGGCACUAUUUAAAAGUAUGGUUGACAUGCGGUGUAUUUUAAUGUUUAAACCUUAUUCUAAAAACAAACAGAACCACCUCGAACACCAAAUUUGUAAAACUUACUAAAAAGCAGAAGGAAGUUAAUGGAAGGGAAUUAAGAAGCAAAAGUAAAUUCUAAUGCUUAAGCUGUGUUUAUUCCACAUUGAUUUUAGCUUUGAUUUGUUGUUAAAUCGUGGAUCUGUAGAUCAGGAGUUCCUGAUGGACAACCUAGAUUUCUUCUAUCUUUCAUUCCCAAUUACCCGAUGUUGAACUUUAUGCUAACAAGUGUUAUAUAUAUUGCGGUAAGUCACCCUGUGUCCCUGUGAUAAAAAUAACAGACAUCUCAAAAUGAAAAUAAAAAUGUGAUUCAUGGUCUUUUUUUAUUUACCUUUUUUAGAUAUCACAUAGACUUUUUCAAGUGACAAAUACGUUGAAGUCUGCAUUCGUGCCGAGCCAAGAUGACAAACGACUGUUGCACAAUAUGAUUG
Molecule: long non-coding RNA, 5093 nt
Filed under: Zostera marina
Lineage: Eukaryota; Viridiplantae; Streptophyta; Magnoliopsida; Alismatales; Zosteraceae
Description: long non-coding RNA (ZMAR_LNC002565)
Source: RNAcentral